CUGUCGGCCCGGCCAGGACACUUCAGGCUAACCCGAAUCCGUAUACGUCAAAACAUGUCUGUUCUUCGUUUCACUUUGUUCUGCGGCGAGGUGACGAUCGAGUUCCUCUGAUUUCUCGAAACGGAUUGCGUUAUGGAUUCUAUGUGUUUAAUCCCAUUAAUACAGUCGCCCACUACAAAUUCUUCCAUGCAUAUUUUGCGUUGGCGAGAUCUGUAAUCUCUGGGUAUAAAUACAUCUGUAUUAUUCUGCUGUGACCAGCUUGAUAACAGGCUCAUCUUUUGCCAAAGAUUCUGACUUUCUUCAACAGAUUCAAACAAAGAGGGUUUAUAAGGAUGACACAAAGUGGUCAAGAAGAAACUAUGGCAUCUCAACAUUCCAGUGCUAUGGUUGAUAUCAAUAUAUUGCUGUAUAAGAUCAACUUUGUUAUUCAUUGAAUUUUUAUGCAAACAUCCGUUUGUUUCGUUUUUCGUAAUAAAGUGGGUAAUCUAUAAUAUUGUGAAACUGCCGUAUAAAAAAAAUUAUUCACUGCUUUUUUCGUUCGACAAUUUCAAAAAGAUAAUGAUGAAAAUACCAAAUUGGAAAAUUGAUAAUAACAAAAAAAAAAAAUUACGAAUCCCUGAGUUGAAUUUAAACGUUUU
Long non-coding RNA from Raphanus sativus (radish), 638 nucleotides. RefSeq lists it as uncharacterized. The record is from RefSeq and is a predicted model, not a curated record. Lineage: Eukaryota; Viridiplantae; Streptophyta; Magnoliopsida; Brassicales; Brassicaceae. The transcript has 3 exons.